GAGUUUGAUCCUGGCUCAGAAUGAACGCUGGCGGCGUGCUUAACACAUGCAAGUCGUGCGCGAAGGCGGCUUCGGCUGCCGGAGAGCGGCGAACGGGUGAGUAACACGUGGGUAAUCUGCCUGGGAGCGGGGGAUAACCUGGGGAAACCCGGGCUAACACCGCAUACGAUGGGGGGAUGUUGGUCCCUUCAUGAAAACUGGCCUCUGCUUGCAAGCUAGUGCUCCCAGAGGAGCCCGCGGCUGAUUAGCUAGUUGGUGAGGUAACGGCUCACCAAGGCGACGAUCAGUAGCCGGCCUGAGAGGGUGAUCGGCCACACUGGGACUGAGACACGGCCCAGACUCCUACGGGAGGCAGCAGUGGGGAAUAUUGGACAAUGGGCGCAAGCCUGAUCCAGCAACGCCGCGUGGAGGAUGAAGGUCUUCGGAUCGUAAACUCCUGUCAGACGGGACGAAGGCUUGGGGGUGAACAAUCUCCAAGCUUGACGGUACUGUCAGAGGAAGCCCCGGCUAACUCCGUGCCAGCAGCCGC
This 529-nucleotide ribosomal RNA is filed under the name uncultured bacterium. RNAcentral describes it as "bacterial SSU rRNA". It matches the Rfam family "Bacterial small subunit ribosomal RNA", at positions 9 to 518 of the family's 1533-position model. The record is from RNAcentral.